Molecule: ribosomal RNA, 200 nt
Filed under: uncultured bacterium
Lineage: Bacteria
Description: partial 16S ribosomal RNA
Rfam family: Bacterial small subunit ribosomal RNA
Source: RNAcentral
GACGAACGCUGGCGGCGUGCCUAAUGCAUGCAAGUCGUACGCAUCGUGCUUGCACGAUGAGUGGCGCACGGCUGAGUAACACGUGGGUAUCUGCCCCGUAGUGGGGGAUAACGCCGCGAAAGCGGCGCUAAUCCCGCAUACGCUCGCAAGAGGAAAGCAGCAAUGCGCUGCGGGAGGAGCCUGCGGCCCAUCAGGUCGUU